GGUGAGUAACACGUGGGUGAUCUGCCCUGUACUUCGGGAUAAGCCUGGGAAACUGGGUCUAAUACCGGAUAUGACCUUCGGUUGCAUGACCGUGGGUGGAAAGAUUUAUCGGUACAGGAUGGGCCCGCGGCCUAUCAGCUUGUUGGUGGGGUAAUGGCCUACCAAGGCGACGACGGGUAGCCGGCCUGAGAGGGCGACCGGCCACACUGGGACUGAGACACGGCCCAGACUCCUACGGGAGGCAGCAGUGGGGAAUAUUGCACAAUGGGCGAAAGCCUGAUGCAGCGACGCCGCGUGAGGGAUGACGGCCUUCGGGUUGUAAACCUCUUUCGACAGGGACGAAGCGCAAGUGACGGUACCUGUAGAAGAAGCACCGGCCAACUACGUGCCAGCAGCCGCGGUAAUACGUAGGGUGCGAGCGUUGUCCGGAAUUACUGGGCGUAAAGAGCUUGUAGGCGGUUCGUCGCGUCGUUCGUGAAAACUUGGGGCUCAACCCCAAGCUUGCGGGCGAUACGGGCGGACUAGAGUACUUCAGGGGAGACUGGAAUUCCUGGUGUAGCGGUGAAAUGCGCAGAUAUCAGGAGGAACACCGGUGGCGAAGGCGGGUCUCUGGGAAGUAACUGACGCUGAGAAGCGAAAGCGUGGGUAGCUAACAGGAUUAGAUACCCUGGUAGUCCACGCCGUAAACGGUGGGUACUAGGUGUGGGUUUCCUU
RNAcentral lists this ribosomal RNA (714 nucleotides) under Nocardia neocaledoniensis. RNAcentral describes it as "bacterial SSU rRNA". It matches the Rfam family "Bacterial small subunit ribosomal RNA", at positions 105 to 833 of the family's 1533-position model. The record is from RNAcentral. Lineage: Bacteria; Bacillati; Actinomycetota; Actinomycetes; Mycobacteriales; Nocardiaceae.